RNAcentral lists this unclassified non-coding RNA (393 nucleotides) under uncultured fungus. Its description in RNAcentral is "sequence contains ITS1". The stretch from base 1 to 105 matches the Rfam family "5.8S ribosomal RNA", at positions 50 to 154 of the family's 154-position model. The record is from RNAcentral. Lineage: Eukaryota; Fungi.
GAAAUGCGAUACUUAGUGUGAAUUGCAGAAUCCCGUGAAUCAUCGAGUCUUUGAACGCAAGUUGCGCCCGAAGCCUCGGCCAAGGGCACAUCUGCCUGGGCGUCGCAAACCACAAUUCGCCCCCCGGCUCAUGUCGUCGGGGGGACGGCCUUGACCGUCCGGUCCGCCUCGGCGGUGCGGUCGGUUGAAAUACAAAAGGGGACCUUCGCAUGCUCUCCGACGGUGGGAGGUUGCGCAUCGCGGCCCGCUUCCCGGGAGGGGUCGCAUCCGGCACCGACCGUGCGGGAGAUGCUGCGCGAGGUUUCCCGAUCGAAAAAGGACUUCAUCGAAGGCGGGAGUUAUUCCCGUCGCAGACGCGACCCCAGUUCAGGCGAGAUCACCCGCUGAGUUUAA